GGCAAGAUGGCCGAGUGGUUAAGGCGUCAGACUUGAAAUCUGAUCCCUUCGGGGUCCUGGGUUCAAAUCCCAGUCUUGUCG
This is a non-coding RNA of Aspergillus ochraceoroseus IBT 24754, 81 nucleotides long. Lineage: Eukaryota; Fungi; Ascomycota; Eurotiomycetes; Eurotiales; Aspergillaceae. The record is from the annotation of a RefSeq genome assembly.